This 253-nucleotide ribosomal RNA is filed under the name uncultured bacterium. RNAcentral's name for it is "partial 16S ribosomal RNA". It matches the Rfam family "Bacterial small subunit ribosomal RNA", at positions 524 to 776 of the family's 1533-position model. The record is from RNAcentral.
UACGAAGGGGGUUAGCGUUGCUCGGAAUUACUGGGCGUAAAGGGAGCGUAGGCGGGUUAUCAAGUUGGAGGUGAAAGCCCAGGGCUCAACCUUGGAAUUGCCUUCAAAACUGAUAACCUAGAGGAUGAUAGAGGUAAGUGGAACUCCGAGUGUAGAGGUGAAAUUCGUAGAUAUUCGGAAGAACACCAGUGGCGGAGGCGACUUACUGGAUCAUUACUGACGCUGAGGCUCGAAAGCGUGGGGAGCAAACAGG